AAAAUUUUUAAAGCCAUAUUGCAUGGUGAUAACAGUCAUAUAUAAUACUUGCUCACCUACUUGGGGUGGGUGCGGGGAACCAAGACUGAUCUGAUAAGAAGUUACCUUCCUGAGAUUAUCAACACCAAGCUGCAAGAAUAACCUACUAAAGAAUUAGGCAGAAAAAUCUAUAUGUCUCCCUCAUCUCUACAGGUUUAACAACUCUGAUUCUUGGAAUUGUAAUGGCGAGGGCAAUUUCACUGGGUCCACACAUACCAAAAACAGAAGACGCUUGGGUAUUUGCAAAGCCCAAUGCCAUUCAAGCGGUCGGGGUUAUGUCUUUUGCAUUUAUUUGCCACCAUAACUCCUUCUUAGUUUACAGUUCUUUAGAAGAACCCACAGUAGCUAAGUGGUCCCGCCUUAUCCAUAUGUCCAUCGUGAUUUCUGUAUUUAUCUGUAUAUUCUUUGCUACAUGUGGAUACUUGACAUUUACUGGCUUCACCCAAGGGGACUUAUUUGAAAAUUACUGCAGAAAUGAUGACCUGGUAACAUUUGGAAGAUUUUGUUAUGGUGUCACUGUCAUUUUGACAUACCCUAU
RNAcentral lists this small RNA (577 nucleotides) under Pongo abelii (Sumatran orangutan). Its description in RNAcentral is "processed transcript". Lineage: Eukaryota; Metazoa; Chordata; Mammalia; Primates; Hominidae. The record is from RNAcentral.